Molecule: ribosomal RNA, 640 nt
Filed under: Bacillus thuringiensis
Lineage: Bacteria; Bacillati; Bacillota; Bacilli; Caryophanales; Bacillaceae
Description: bacterial SSU rRNA
Rfam family: Bacterial small subunit ribosomal RNA
Source: RNAcentral
GGAGGGGAGCCUCAUUAUGCAAGUCGAGCGAAUGGAUUGAGAGCUUGCUCUCAAGAAGUUAGCGGCGGACGGGUGAGUAACACGUGGGUAACCUGCCCAUAAGACUGGGAUAACUCCGGGAAACCGGGGCUAAUACCGGAUAACAUUUUGAACUGCAUAGUUCGAAAUUGAAAGGCGGCUUCGGCUUGUCACUUAUGGAUGGACCCGCGUCGCAUUAGCUAGUUGGUGAGGUAACCGGCUCACCAAGGCAACGAUGCCGUAGCCGACCUGAGAGGGUGAUCGGCCACACUGGGACUGAGACACGGCCCAGACUCCUACGGGAGGCAGCAGUAGGGAAUCUUCCGCAAUGGACGAAAGUCUGACGGAGCAACGCCGCGUGAGUGAUGAAGGCUUUCGGGUCGUAAAACUCUGUUGUUAGGGAAGAACAAGUGCUAGUUGAAUAAGCUGGCACCUUGACGGUACCUAACCAGAAAGCCACGGCUAACUACGUGCCAGCAGCCGCGGUAAUACGUAGGUGGCAAGCGUUAUCCGGAAUUAUUGGGCGUAAAGCGCGCCCAGGUGGUUUCUUAAGUCUGAUGUGAAAGCCCACGGCUCAACCCGUGGAGGGUCAUUGGAACUGGGAGACUUUGAGUGCAGAAGA